AACGCGAAAGCCCCGCAGGGGCAAGUAGAGUGGCAAACGGGUGAGUAACACGUGGGUGACCUGCCUUCGAGUGGGGGAUAACGUCCCGAAAGGGACGCUAAUACCGCAUAACAUCCUGCCUUUGAACAGGCGGACAUCAAAGCUGGGGACCGCAAGGCCUGGCGCUUGAAGAGGGGCCCGCGCCUGAUUAGCUAGUUGGUGGGGUAAUGGCUCACCAAGGCAACGAUCAGUAUCCGGCCUGAGAGGGCGGACGGACACACUGGGACUGAGACACGGCCCAGACUCCUACGGGAGGCAGCAGUGGGGAAUUGUUCGCAAUGGGCGCAAGCCUGACGACGCAACGCCGCGUGGAGGAUGAAGACCUUCGGGUCGUAAACUCCUUUCGAUCGAGACGAAUGGCCCCCGGGUGAAUAUCCCGGGGGAGUGACGGUACCGAGAGAAGAAGCCCCGGCUAACUCCGUGCCAGCAGCCGCGGUAAUACGGGGGGGGGCAAGCGUUGUUCGGAAUUACUGGGCGUAAAAGGGCUCGUAGGCGGCCAACUAAUUCAGACGUGAAAUCCCUCGGCUUAACCGGGGAACUGCGUCUGAAACUGGAUGGCUUGAUUUCGGGAAAGGGGAUGCGGAAUUCCAGGUGUAGCGGUGAAAUGCGUAAAUUUCUGGAGGAACACCGGUGGCGAAGGCGGCUUCCUGGAACCGAUACUGACCCUAAGGAACGAAAGCCAGGGGAAGCAACGGGAUUUAAUUACCCCGG
This 750-nucleotide ribosomal RNA is filed under the name uncultured Pseudomonadota bacterium. Its description in RNAcentral is "bacterial SSU rRNA". It matches the Rfam family "Bacterial small subunit ribosomal RNA", at positions 65 to 790 of the family's 1533-position model. The record is from RNAcentral. Lineage: Bacteria; Pseudomonadati; Pseudomonadota.